RNAcentral lists this ribosomal RNA (1284 nucleotides) under Escherichia coli. Its description in RNAcentral is "partial 23S ribosomal RNA". It matches the Rfam family "Bacterial large subunit ribosomal RNA", at positions 604 to 1873 of the family's 2925-position model. Lineage: Bacteria; Pseudomonadati; Pseudomonadota; Gammaproteobacteria; Enterobacterales; Enterobacteriaceae. The record is from RNAcentral.
CCUUUUGUAUAAUGGGUCAGCGACUUAUAUUCUGUAGCAAGGUUAACCGAAUAGGGGAGCCGAAGGGAAACCGAGUCUUAACUGGGCGUUAAGUUGCAGGGUAUAGACCCGAAACCCGGUGAUCUAGCCAUGGGCAGGUUGAAGGUUGGGUAACACUAACUGGAGGACCGAACCGACUAAUGUUGAAAAAUUAGCGGAUGACUUGUGGCUGGGGGUGAAAGGCCAAUCAAACCGGGAGAUAGCUGGUUCUCCCCGAAAGCUAUUUAGGUAGCGCCUCGUGAAUUCAUCUCCGGGGGUAGAGCACUGUUUCGGCAAGGGGGUCAUCCCGACUUACCAACCCGAUGCAAACUGCGAAUACCGGAGAAUGUUAUCACGGGAGACACACGGCGGGUGCUAACGUCCGUCGUGAAGAGGGAAACAACCCAGACCGCCAGCUAAGGUCCCAAAGUCAUGGUUAAGUGGGAAACGAUGUGGGAAGGCCCAGACAGCCAGGAUGUUGGCUUAGAAGCAGCCAUCAUUUAAAGAAAGCGUAAUAGCUCACUGGUCGAGUCGGCCUGCGCGGAAGAUGUAACGGGGCUAAACCAUGCACCGAAGCUGCGGCAGCGACGCUGAUGCGUUGUUGGGUAGGGGAGCGUUCUGUAAGCCUGCGAAGGUGUGCUGUGAGGCAUGCUGGAGGUAUCAGAAGUGCGAAUGCUGACAUAAGUAACGAUAAAGCGGGUGAAAAGCCCGCUCGCCGGAAGACCAAGGGUUCCUGUCCAACGUUAAUCGGGGCAGGGUGAGUCGACCCCUAAGGCGAGGCCGAAAGGCGUAGUCGAUGGGAAACAGGUUAAUAUUCCUGUACUUGGUGUUACUGCGAAGGGGGGACGGAGAAGGCUAUGUUGGCCGGGCGACGGUUGUCCCGGUUUAAGCGUGUAGGCUGGUUUUCCAGGCAAAUCCGGAAAAUCAAGGCUGAGGCGUGAUGACGAGGCACUACGGUGCUGAAGCAACAAAUGCCCUGCUUCCAGGAAAAGCCUCUAAGCAUCAGGUAACAUCAAAUCGUACCCCAAACCGACACAGGUGGUCAGGUAGAGAAUACCAAGGCGCUUGAGAGAACUCGGGUGAAGGAACUAGGCAAAAUGGUGCCGUAACUUCGGGAGAAGGCACGCUGAUAUGUAGGUGAAGUCCCUCGCGGAUGGAGCUGAAAUCAGUCGAAGAUACCAGCUGGCUGCAACUGUUUAUUAAAAACACAGCACUGUGCAAACACGAAAGUGGACGUAUACGGUGUGACGCCUGCCCGGUGCCGGA